CCUACGGGCGGCAGCAGUAGGGAAUCUUCCACAAUGGGCGAAAGCCUGAUGGAGCAACGCCGCGUGGGUGAAGAAGGUCUUCGGAUCGUAAAACCCUGUUGUUAGAGAAGAAAGUGCGUGAGAGUAACUGUUCACGUUUCGACGGUAUCUAACCAGAAAGCCACGGCUAACUACGUGCCAGCAGCUGCGGUAAUACGUAGGUGGCAAGCGUUAUCCGGAUUGAUUGGGCGUAAAGGGAACGCAGGCGGACUUUUAAGUCUGAGGUGAAAGCCUUCGGCUUAACCGGAGUAGUGCAUUGGAAACUGGGAGACUUGAGUGCAGAAGAGGAGAGUGGAAUUCCAGGUGUAGCGGUGAAAUGCGUAGAUAUAUGGAAGAACACCAGUGGCGAAAGCGGCUCUCUGGUCUGUAACUGACGCUGAGGUUCGAAAGCGUGGGUAGCAAACAGGAUUAGAUACCCCUGUAGUC
Molecule: ribosomal RNA, 465 nt
Filed under: uncultured bacterium
Lineage: Bacteria
Description: partial 16S ribosomal RNA
Rfam family: Bacterial small subunit ribosomal RNA
Source: RNAcentral